This 407-nucleotide long non-coding RNA is filed under the name Homo sapiens (human). RNAcentral describes it as "HSALNT0336344". Lineage: Eukaryota; Metazoa; Chordata; Mammalia; Primates; Hominidae. The record is from RNAcentral.
GUCUCCCUAGGUUUCUUUUGGCUGUGGCAGUUUUCAAACACUGUCUUUGAUGACCUGGACAUUUUUGAGGAGUCAUGUCGCAUGCCCCUCUGUUGGAAUUUAUCUGAUGUUUUUCUCAUGAUUAAACUGGGAUUAUAAAUUUUGCAGAGGAAGAUAAGCAUUCACAACCAAAACAGGGCUUUUUGAUGACUACAAUCAACUGCCUUCAUGCUUGAGUCUAAGCUUCCUAAAUCAGAAAGCGCCAGAAAUUACACUUUGAACCUCCAAAUAGUCAACCAACAUGAGGAAUUGAGCAGGAGAAGCAAGAAGUGUUUACAGUGAAACAGUCUUCAAAGCGAGGAAUUUGCUCCUGUCUGCAGAAAUUAUGAAAUUAUUUUUUGAGAGGGAUCCCUUACCUUUAACUUGUG